CCUACGGGAGGCUGCAGUGGGGAAUAUUGCACAAUGGGCGCAAGCCUGAUGCAGCCAUGCCGCGUGUGUGAAGAAGGCCUUCGGGUUGUAAAGCACUUUUAGCGGGGAGGAAGGCGGUGAGGUUAAUAACCUCAUCGAUUGACGUUACCCGCAGAAGAAGCACCGGCUAACUCCGUGCCAGCAGCCGCGGUAAUACGGAGGGUGCAAGCGUUAAUAGGAAUUACUGGGCGUAAAGCGCACGCAGGCGGUCUGUCAAGUCGGAUGUGAAAUCCCCGGGCUCAACCUGGGAACUGCAUUCGAAACUGGCAGGCUAGAGUCUUGUAGAGGGGGGUAGAAUUCCAGGUGUAGCGGUGAAAUGCGUAGAGAUCUGGAGGAAUACCGGUGGCGAAGGCGGCCCCCUGGACAAAGACUGACGCUCAGGUGCGAAAGCGUGGGGAGCAAACAGGAUUAGAUACCCUUGUAGUC
This 465-nucleotide ribosomal RNA is filed under the name uncultured Klebsiella sp. RNAcentral describes it as "bacterial SSU rRNA". It matches the Rfam family "Bacterial small subunit ribosomal RNA", at positions 338 to 795 of the family's 1533-position model. The record is from RNAcentral. Lineage: Bacteria; Pseudomonadati; Pseudomonadota; Gammaproteobacteria; Enterobacterales; Enterobacteriaceae.